UACGGAGGGGGCGAGCGUUAUUCGGAAUUAUUGGGCGUAAAGGGCUCGUAGGCGGUCUGUCGCGUCGGGAGUGAAAACUCAGGGCUUAACCCUGAGCCUGCUUCCGAUACGGGCAGACUAGAGGUAUGCAGGGGAGAACGGAAUUCCUGGUGUAGCGGUGGAAUGCGCAGAUAUCAGGAGGAACACCGGUGGCGAAGGCGGUUCUCUGGGCAUUACCUGACGCUGAGGAGCGAAAGUGUGGGGAGCGAACAGG
This 253-nucleotide ribosomal RNA is filed under the name uncultured bacterium. RNAcentral describes it as "partial 16S ribosomal RNA". It matches the Rfam family "Bacterial small subunit ribosomal RNA", at positions 524 to 776 of the family's 1533-position model. The record is from RNAcentral.